Molecule: ribosomal RNA, 542 nt
Filed under: uncultured bacterium
Lineage: Bacteria
Description: bacterial SSU rRNA
Rfam family: Bacterial small subunit ribosomal RNA
Source: RNAcentral
ACUGAAUAGAUACCCGGGUAGUCCACGCCGUAAACGUUGGGCGCUAGGUGUGGGGCUCUUUCCACGAGUUCCGUGCCGCAGCAAAACGCAUUAAGCGCCCCGCCUGGGGAGUACGGCCGCAAGGCUAAAACUCAAAGGAAUUGACGGGGGCCCACACAAGCGGCGGAGCAUGCGGAUUAAAUUCGAUGCAACGCGAAGAACCUUACCAAGGCUUGACAUACGCAGAAAACCGGCAGAGAUGUCGGGUCCGUAAGGGCUGUGUACAGGUGGUGCAUGGUUGUCGUCAGCUCGUGUCGUGAGAUGUUGGGUUAAGUCCCGCAACGAGCGCAACCCUCGUUCCAUGUUGCCAGCACGUAAUGGUGGGGACUCAUGGGAGACUGCCGGGGUCAACUCGGGGGAAGGUGGGGAUGACGUCAAAUCAUCAUGCCCCUUAUGUCUUGGGCUUCACGCAUGCUACAAUGGCCAGUACAAAGGGCUGCGAGACCGUAAGGUGGAGCGAAUCCCAAAAAGCUGGUCUCAGUUCGGAUCGGGGUCUGCAACUC